RNAcentral lists this transfer RNA (76 nucleotides) under bacterium. RNAcentral's name for it is "tRNA-Arg". It matches the Rfam family "tRNA". From Rfam's summary of the family: Transfer RNA (tRNA) molecules are approximately 80 nucleotides in length. Their secondary structure includes four short double-helical elements and three loops (D, anti-codon, and T loops). The record is from RNAcentral.
GCACCCGUAGCUCAAUGGAUAGAGCAGUGGCGUUCUAAGCCAACGGUUGGGGGUUCGAGUCCCUCCGGGUGCUCCG